This is a non-coding RNA of Lonchura striata (white-rumped munia), 312 nucleotides long. NCBI's taxonomy places the organism in Eukaryota, Metazoa, Chordata, Aves, Passeriformes, Estrildidae. The record is from RefSeq and is a predicted model, not a curated record.
GUGUUUAUGCUGCAGCAAUGCAAACUUCUUGUUUUUCCUACUUCAGAUCAGUGUGAAGCAGAAGGCAAGUGUCUGGACAUUUACAUCUCAGAAGCUUCAGGAAAUAGCUGGUAUCACAUGCAGGUGAUUGGAUAAAGAUCAGCUUGGCCAAAGAUAAACAACGAUGUGGACAAGGUACCAUCUCCAGUGCAACCUCUGUGCAUUUAUUGGCUGCAGAGCUGUUCUUAGAUGUUCUGUGUACUAAUUGCUGAAACCUCCUCUUCACCUCCUUCUGCUCUUCGUUUCACAGAACUUCUGCAAGAGAGGAAUUGG